GAGUUUGAUCAUGGCUCAGGACGAACGCUGGCGGCGUGCUUAACACAUGCAAGUCAACGACGUUUGCGUAGCAAUAUGCAAACGGAGUGGCGCACGGGUGCGUAACGCGUAUGCAAUUUGCCCUUUGCUCGGGAAUAACACUUCCAACGAGGUGCUAAUACCCGAUGAUGCAGCGGCACCGCAUGGUGACAGUUGUUAAAGCUUCGGUGGCAAAGGAUAAGCAUGCGUCUGAUUAGCUUGUUGGCGGGGUAACGGCCCACCAAGGCUUUGAUCAGUAGCUGGUCUGAGAGGAUGAUCAGCCACACUGGGACUGAGACACGGCCCAGGCUCCUACGGGAGGCAGCAGUGAGGAUUAUUGCGCAAUGGACGAAAGUCUGACGCAGCAACGCCGCGUGCGGGAUGAAGGCCUUUCAGGUCGUAAACCGCUGUAGCAGGGAAAAAAUAUCCCGUUAGACGGGAUUGAUGGUACCCUGAAAGUAAGCCUCGGCUAACUACGUGCCAGCAGCCGCGGUAAUACGUAGGAGGCGAGCGUUGUCCGGAUUUACUGGGUGUAAAGGGUCCGCUGGCGGGUAUUUAAGUCGGUGGUGAAAUCCUUCAGCUUAACUGAAGAACUGCCUCCGAUACUGAAUAUCUUGAAUAC
Molecule: ribosomal RNA, 640 nt
Filed under: uncultured bacterium
Lineage: Bacteria
Description: bacterial SSU rRNA
Rfam family: Bacterial small subunit ribosomal RNA
Source: RNAcentral